RNAcentral lists this ribosomal RNA (465 nucleotides) under uncultured Klebsiella sp. Its description in RNAcentral is "bacterial SSU rRNA". It matches the Rfam family "Bacterial small subunit ribosomal RNA", at positions 338 to 795 of the family's 1533-position model. Lineage: Bacteria; Pseudomonadati; Pseudomonadota; Gammaproteobacteria; Enterobacterales; Enterobacteriaceae. The record is from RNAcentral.
CCUACGGGUGGCAGCAGUGGGGAAUAUUGCACAAUGGGCGCAAGUCUGAUGCAGCCAUGCCGCGUGUGUGAAGAAGGCCUUCGGGUUGUAAAGCACUUUCAGCGGGGAGGAAGGCGUUAAGGUUAAUAACCUUGGCGAUUGACGUUACCCGCAGAAGAAGCACCGGCUAACUCCGUGCCAGCAGCCGCGGUAAUACGGAGGGUGCAAGCGUUAAGCGGAAUUACUGGGCGUAAAGCGCACGCAGGCGGUCUGUCAAGUCGGAUGUGAAAUCCCCGGGCUCAACCUGGGAACUGCAUUCGAAACUGGCAGGCUAGAGUCUUGUAGAGGGGGGUAGAAUUCCAGGUGUAGCGGUGAAAUGCGUAGAGAUCUGGAGGAAUACCGGUGGCGAAGGCGGCCCCCUGGACAAAGACUGACGCUCAGGUGCGAAAGCGUGGGGAGCAAACAGGAUUAGAUACCCGUGUAGUC